Long non-coding RNA from Xenia sp. Carnegie-2017, 305 nucleotides. RefSeq lists it as uncharacterized. The transcript is spliced from 3 exons. NCBI's taxonomy places the organism in Eukaryota, Metazoa, Cnidaria, Anthozoa, Malacalcyonacea, Xeniidae. The record is from RefSeq and is a predicted model, not a curated record.
CCCCCGUGAGGAUACCCAAAACACUAAGACCAUGGCAUAUGGCCGAAAUAAAUUAAGACCAUGUAGCUUGAAACGAAAAUUGGUAUUUCUAAAAAGGACAUGUAUGGAAGUAAUGACCAGACAUUAUAAAGUUCUGGGACAUCAAGGCAGUGUUUAUGAAACCAGCUCUGACAACUGACACAUUCAACCAUGUCAUCUUCCUCCCUGACAUAUGGAAGGCGACAUGUACAGUAAAUUGUAAAACAAUUCCACAAGUGACUUCGGAUAUUCCUCCUUUUGAAAGUUAUCUUGCUGGGAUCCUGUCC